Drosophila virilis is the source of this 325-nucleotide non-coding RNA. NCBI's taxonomy places the organism in Eukaryota, Metazoa, Arthropoda, Insecta, Diptera, Drosophilidae. The record is from RefSeq and is a predicted model, not a curated record.
GAUAGCUAUUGCUAUUAAUCGGCGUCUUGUUUAUAGAAUGUAUAAAAGAAUACCAUGGAGUUUAUAAGUAAUGUUGAAGAUGUUAAAAGGACCAUUAUUGAAAACACCGAGUUAUAAAGUCGUUGGAAAACUGUUGCGAUGACAGUUUCCACAGCCAAAUACAAAAAAUGAUCAGUGAAACAUUGAAGGAGCGCUUGGAGCUAGGCGAACGUCUAAUUGCCAUGAAGGCCAAGCAGAAACGCAUCGAUGCUGUAUUACAACAAGGAUUGGCUGAAACCGAUAUAGUGGAAGACUUAAACAAGCAGUGCUUACAAUCAUUUGAAAA